This 254-nucleotide ribosomal RNA is filed under the name uncultured bacterium. RNAcentral's name for it is "partial 16S ribosomal RNA". It matches the Rfam family "Bacterial small subunit ribosomal RNA", at positions 524 to 776 of the family's 1533-position model. The record is from RNAcentral.
GACGUAGGGUCCAAGCGUUAUCCGGAUUUACUGGGCGUAAAGCGCGCGUAGGCGGUCUGUUAAGUGCACAAGUGAAAGCUCCGGGCUCAACUCGGAAAUUGCUUUGCAUACUGGCAGGCUGGAGGGACGCAGAGGUCUGUGGAAUUCCUGGUGUAACGGUGAAAUGUGUUGAUAUCAGGAGGAACACCCAUGGCGAAGGCAGCAGACUGGGCGUUUCCUGACGCUGAGGCGCGAAAGCGUGGGGAGCAAACAGG